This 922-nucleotide long non-coding RNA is filed under the name Vigna radiata. RNAcentral's name for it is "long non-coding RNA (VRAD_LNC008957)". Lineage: Eukaryota; Viridiplantae; Streptophyta; Magnoliopsida; Fabales; Fabaceae. The record is from RNAcentral.
UCUUCCUUUGCUUCUCAGCAGCCUCCUCGUCCAUUAUGGCACCCAUCACGUUGGUGUAACCCUUCUGGAGCAGCCGGUAGAGCAAGAGCGACGACAUUCUCGCCCUCUCCUUAACAGAAUCGAGGUCCCGUUCGUCCGCCAGCUCGCACCGCUCGAUGAAGCACAUUGCCUUGUCGGGCUUGUGUUUCAGAGACAGAAGCAAAUGCGCUCUCUGUAACUCCGAACGACCACAGCCGCGCCGCAAGCCAAUGAGACCAUGGUAGUCCACGUUGGAGGUAUCUCCCGAAGCUACCCUCUGUUUCAGUUCCUGGAUCUUCGUGGUGAGGGCGCAGAGUUUCCCAGGAAUUUCUCUGGCGCGAACGUUUUGGCGCUUCCAGGCAGGACCUGCGAGUUUGCGGUCGCGCAAGAUGGUGUUGUAGAGGAGUUUGAGAUGUUCGAGGUCAUGGAGUGAAUCUGGGAAGCAACGAAUGGAUUCCAGAAGAGAGGCUCGAGUUUCCAGAGCUUGGAUGCAGGUGGGGUCCAAGGCGAGGGUUCUGUUGCAAUCGGCAAUAGAAUCGGCGAUUCGGCCGGCGGACCGGUGAGCGGAGGCCCUGUGCAUGUAGCACUCGGCGAGGAAGGCCUGCGGGGCACCGCGUCGCCCGUCCACGAUUUUGGAGAAGUGGCGUAUGGCUUCGGAGUGGAGGCCGGCUUCCAGGGCAGCGAGCGCGGCGGCACGGCGCCGGAGGAGGAGCUUUAUGUGGGCGAGGAGUUGGGUCACUGCUUCAGACUCCGGAAGUGGGACCCGGGGUGGGCUUGAGUCGCCGGAGAAGAGGGGGUUCGAGAGGGAGAAGCUAUCGUCGGACCAGCACACGCUCUCGCGGCGGAACGCGGCGGAGGCGAGGCGUUUCCCCGUUUGGAGAAGAACCAUCGCGUCUUCCAUUAG